AGCGUACACGGUGGAUGCCCUGGCAGUCAGAGGCGAUGAAGGACGUGCUAAUCUGCGAUAAGCGUCGGUAAGGUGAUAUGAACCGUUAUAACCGGCGAUUUCCGAAUGGGGAAACCCAGUGUGAUUCGUCACACUAUCAUUAACUGAAUCCAUAGGUUAAUGAGGCGAACCGGGGGAACUGAAACAUCUAAGUACCCCGAGGAAAAGAAAUCAACCGAGAUUCCCCCAGUAGCGGCGAGCGAACGGGGAGCAGCCCAGAGCCUGAAUCAGUGUGUGUGUUAGUGGAAGCGUCUGGAAAGGCGCGCGAUACAGGGUGACAGCCCCGUACACAAAAAUGCACAUACUGUGAGCUCGAUGAGUAGGGCGGGACACGUGGUAUCCUGUCUGAAUAUGGGGGGACCAUCCUCCAAGGCUAAAUACUCCUGACUGACCGAUAGUGAACCAGUACCGUGAGGGAAAGGCGAAAAGAACCCCGGCGAGGGGAGUGAAAAAGAACCUGAAACCGUGUACGUACAAGCAGUGGGAGCACAGAGCAAUCUGUGUGACUGCGUACCUUUUGUAUAAUGGGUCAGCGACUUAUAUUCUGUAGCAAGGUUAACCGAAUAGGGGAGCCGAAGGGAAACCGAGUCUUAACUGGGCGUUAAGUUGCAGGGUAUAGACCCGAAACCCGGUGAUCUAGCCAUGGGCAGGUUGAAGGUUGGGUAACACUAACUGGAGGACCGAACCGACUAAUGUUGAAAAAUUAGCGGAUGACUUGUGGCUGGGGGUGAAAGGCCAAUCAAACCGGGAGAUAGCUGGUUCUCCCCGAAAGCUAUUUAGGUAGCGCCUCGUGAAUUCAUCUCCGGGGGUAGAGCACUGUUUCGGCAAGGGGGUCAUCCCGACUUACCAACCCGAUGCAAACUGCGAAUACCGGAGAAUGUUAUCACGGGAGACACACGGCGGGUGCUAACGUCCGUCGUGAAGAGGGAAACAACCCAGACCGCCAGCUAAGGUCCCAAAGUCAUGGUUAAGUGGGAAACGAUGUGGGAAGGCCCAGACAGCCAGGAUGUUGGCUUAGAAGCAGCCAUCAUUUAAAGAAAGCGUAAUAGCUCACUGGUCGAGUCGGCCUGCGCGGAAGAUGUAACGGGGCUAAACCAUGCACCGAAGCUGCGGCAGCGACGCUUAUGCGUUGUUGGGUAGGGGAGCGUUCUGUAAGCCUGCGAAGGUGUGCUGUGAGGCAUGCUGGAGGUAUCAGAAGUGCGAAUGCUGACAUAAGUAACGAUAAAGCGGGUGAAAAGCCCGCUCGCCGGAAGACCAAGGGUUCCUGUCCAACGUUAAUCGGGGCAGGGUGAGUCGACCCCUAAGGCGAGGCCGAAAGGCGUAGUCGAUGGGAAACAGGUUAAUAUUCCUGUACUUGGUGUUACUGCGAAGGGGGGACGGAGAAGGCUAUGUUGGCCGGGCGACGGUUGUCCCGGUUUAAGCGUGUAGGCUGGUUUUCCAGGCAAAUCCGGAAAAUCAAGGCUGAGGCGUGAUGACGAGGCACUACGGUGCUGAAGCAACAAAUGCCCUGCUUCCAGGAAAAGCCUCUAAGCAUCAGGUAACAUCAAAUCGUACCCCAAACCGACACAGGUGGUCAGGUAGAGAAUACCAAGGCGCUUGAGAGAACUCGGGUGAAGGAACUAGGCAAAAUGGUGCCGUAACUUCGGGAGAAGGCACGCUGAUAUGUAGGUGAAGCGACUUGCUCGUGGAGCUGAAAUCAGUCGAAGAUACCAGCUGGCUGCAACUGUUUAUUAAAAACACAGCACUGUGCAAACACGAAAGUGGACGUAUACGGUGUGACGCCUGCCCGGUGCCGGAAGGUUAAUUGAUGGGGUUAGCGCAAGCGAAGCUCUUGAUCGAAGCCCCGGUAAACGGCGGCCGUAACUAUAACGGUCCUAAGGUAGCGAAAUUCCUUGUCGGGUAAGUUCCGACCUGCACGAAUGGCGUAAUGAUGGCCAGGCUGUCUCCACCCGAGACUCAGUGAAAUUGAACUCGCUGUGAAGAUGCAGUGUACCCGCGGCAAGACGGAAAGACCCCGUGAACCUUUACUAUAGCUUGACACUGAACAUUGAGCCUUGAUGUGUAGGAUAGGUGGGAGGCUUUGAAGUGUGGACGCCAGUCUGCAUGGAGCCGACCUUGAAAUACCACCCUUUAAUGUUUGAUGUUCUAACGUUGACCCGUGAUCCGGGUUGCGGACAGUGUCUGGUGGGUAGUUUGACUGGGGCGGUCUCCUCCUAAAGAGUAACGGAGGAGCACGAAGGUUGGCUAAUCCUGGUCGGACAUCAGGAGGUUAGUGCAAUGGCAUAAGCCAGCUUGACUGCGAGCGUGACGGCGCGAGCAGGUGCGAAAGCAGGUCAUAGUGAUCCGGUGGUUCUGAAUGGAAGGGCCAUCGCUCAACGGAUAAAAGGUACUCCGGGGAUAACAGGCUGAUACCGCCCAAGAGUUCAUAUCGACGGCGGUGUUUGGCACCUCGAUGUCGGCUCAUCACAUCCUGGGGCUGAAGUAGGUCCCAAGGGUAUGGCUGUUCGCCAUUUAAAGUGGUACGCGAGCUGGGUUUAGAACGUCGUGAGACAGUUCGGUCCCUAUCUGCCGUGGGCGCUGGAGAAUUGAGGGGGGCUGCUCCUAGUACGAGAGGACCGGAGUGGACGCAUCACUGGUGUUCGGGUUGUCAUGCCAAUGGCACUGCCCGGUAGCUAAAUGCGGAAGAGAUAAGUGCUGAAAGCAUCUAAGCACGAAACUUGCCCCGAGAUGAGUUCUCCCUGACUCCUUGA
Molecule: ribosomal RNA, 2789 nt
Filed under: Escherichia coli
Lineage: Bacteria; Pseudomonadati; Pseudomonadota; Gammaproteobacteria; Enterobacterales; Enterobacteriaceae
Description: bacterial LSU rRNA
Rfam family: Bacterial large subunit ribosomal RNA
Source: RNAcentral